AUCGCUUCUUGGUCUUUUGGCUAAGAUCAAGUGUAGUAUCUGUUCUUAUCAGCUUUGCAGCUAGGGAAUUGGUUUUUAAAAAAAACCUAUUUUUGAGUGUUUAGGUCAGAUGGGAGAGCUGAGAGAUACACUGUUUACUAACUAGCCCAGGGCUA
Molecule: small nuclear RNA, 155 nt
Filed under: Ursus maritimus (polar bear)
Lineage: Eukaryota; Metazoa; Chordata; Mammalia; Carnivora; Ursidae
Description: U2 spliceosomal RNA (ENSUMAG00000020115.1)
Rfam family: U2 spliceosomal RNA (bases 1-102)
About the family: U2 is a small nuclear RNA (snRNA) component of the spliceosome (involved in pre-mRNA splicing). Complementary binding between U2 snRNA (in an area lying towards the 5' end but 3' to hairpin I) and the branchpoint sequence (BPS) of the intron results the bulging out of an unpaired adenosine, on the BPS, which initiates a nucleophilic attack at the intronic 5' splice site, thus starting the first of two transesterification reactions that mediate splicing.
Source: RNAcentral